Molecule: long non-coding RNA, 394 nt
Filed under: Salvator merianae (Argentine black and white tegu)
Lineage: Eukaryota; Metazoa; Chordata; Lepidosauria; Squamata; Teiidae
Description: lncRNA (ENSSMRG00000022741.1)
Source: RNAcentral
UCUGAACCCCCUUAGUGCCCCACGGAAAAGAGCUGGGAAGAUGCUGGGCUUUAGAUGUCUUCAUUCAAUAAAGAAUGCAAGGAGCUGUCCAAUCGAACUGAAUGAAAAAGAUGAAAACAGCCAAAGCAAAGAAAGGAAUAAGCUGCAUGGACAAAAAGAAUAUCUUUUCUGGAUGUUACUUGCUUCAUUUUGAUGAGAAAUCAUACCAAAGCAGGAAGGAGAGCAACAGAUGUCAAAGGAAACUGAAAACUCAAAAGGAUAAGAACAUUCUACCUACCUAUCUAGCCUGUCAUCCACAGAUUCCACAAUGACAAUUUAUAACAAAGGAAGAUUAUUGUUUAAAAUCUGUAUUUGUUUCCUAACCUGUAGCAAACAGUCUUGGGGCAGGUUAUAA